RNAcentral lists this ribosomal RNA (645 nucleotides) under uncultured marine eukaryote. RNAcentral's name for it is "SSU rRNA". It matches the Rfam family "Eukaryotic small subunit ribosomal RNA", at positions 613 to 1259 of the family's 1831-position model. The record is from RNAcentral.
UUGUGGUUAAAAAGCUCGUAGUCGGAUCUCAACAGCCUUGAAGCGGUUAACUUUGUAGUUUUACUGCUUUAUAGGCUGUGCUUUUGCUGGAGGUUUAGGGGUGCUCUUGAUCGAGUGUCUCUGGAUGCCAGCAGGUUUACUUUGAAAAAAUUAGAGUGCUCAAAGCAGGCUAAAAUGCCUGAAUAUUCGUGCAUGGAAUAAUAGAAUAGGAUGUCGAUCCUAUUUUGUUGGUUUUCGGGACUCGACAUAAUGAUAAAUAGGGACAGUCGGGGGCAUUUGUAUUCAAACGACAGAGGUGAAAUUCUUGGACCGUUUGAAGACAAACUACUGCGAAAGCAUUUGCCAAGAAUGUUUUCAUUAAUCAAGAACGAAAGUUAGAGGUUCGAAGGCGAUUAGAUACCGCCCUAGUUCUAACCAUAAACGAUGCCAGCUAGCGAUCUGCCUGCGUUUUUACUGUAGACUGGGCAGGAAGCUUCCGGGAAACCAAAGCAUUUGGGUUCCAGGGAAAGUAUGGUUGCAAAGCUGAAACUUAAAGGAAUUGACGGAAGGGCACCACCGGGAGUGGAGCCUGUGGCUUAAUUUGACUCAACACGGGAAAUCUCACCAGGCCCGGACACUGGAAGGAUUGACAGAUUGAUAGCUCUU